CCUACGGGAGGCAGCAGUGAGGAAUCUUCCACAAUGGGCGAAAGCCUGAUGGAGCAACGCCGCGUGAAGGAUGAAGGCCCUCGGGUUGUAAACUUCUUUUAUAAGUGAAGAAUAUGACGGUAACUUAUGAAUAAGCACCGGCUAACUACGUGCCAGCAGCCGCGGUCAUACGUAGGGUGCAAGCAUUAUCCGGAGUGACUGGGCGUAAAGAGUUGCGUAGGUGGUUUGUUAAGUGAGUAGUGAAAGCUAGCGGCUCAACCGUAUAGACUAUUAUUCAAACUGGCAAACUCGAGAAUGGUAGAGGUAACUGGAAUUUCUUGUGUAGGAGUGAAAUCCGUAGAUAUAAGAAGGAACACCAAUGGCGUAGGCAGGUUACUGGACCAUUUCUGACACUGAGGCACGAAAGCGUGGGGAGCGAACGGGAUUAGAUACCCUGGUAGUC
RNAcentral lists this ribosomal RNA (442 nucleotides) under uncultured bacterium. Its description in RNAcentral is "bacterial SSU rRNA". It matches the Rfam family "Bacterial small subunit ribosomal RNA", at positions 338 to 795 of the family's 1533-position model. The record is from RNAcentral.